GAGGAAGGGGCUGGGGGAUCUAUGAACCAUAGAGAAAGAGAAAAUAUAUAUCAGCUGGAUUUACCCUGUAUGACCUGGACUGUUUGGACUUACCUGUUGGCAUUUGGACCUGGACCCACUGAGAACCCGAUUCGUGUACCUGUGACAGGAUAGGGGGAGAUCGUGAACAUCAGGUCUCCCCAGUAUGAAAAUGUUGCAAGGGAUAAUAAAUAAUGCUCAACUGGGACCACUGGCUGGGUGAUAUAUUUGGACAAAACACAACGCAAGGAGAGUAUGAUUAACAUCUGUUACACUAGUGCCGAGACUCGUCUUGCCUUCGCCGGACGUGACGUGGAGGGUUCCGAGACCCAGCUUCAAGAAGUACUGUGGUUGCUGAUGCACACCAGAGGCUUAGGUUUCGCAUUCUGCACAAGUGGAAUUCUCAGGGAGCUCCUGGUAGCAUGAUGUUCAACGUUUGGUUAAUAAAUCCAGAAAAUGUACACCAACUCUGCUGCAUAUUGGUCCACCUUUUCGGAUGACGAUUUCGCUAUGUCGUCCUCCGACGAAGAAAGCCGUGACAGUGAUAGAAUGAUUAUUUAGUGAUGUAAUUGUGCUGUUAUGCUAGUAACUUUCCGACGCCAGUUAACGUGAG
Molecule: long non-coding RNA, 631 nt
Filed under: Salmo salar (Atlantic salmon)
Lineage: Eukaryota; Metazoa; Chordata; Actinopteri; Salmoniformes; Salmonidae
Description: lncRNA (ENSSSAG00000121858.1)
Source: RNAcentral